RNAcentral lists this ribosomal RNA (493 nucleotides) under uncultured bacterium. Its description in RNAcentral is "partial 16S ribosomal RNA". It matches the Rfam family "Bacterial small subunit ribosomal RNA", at positions 27 to 507 of the family's 1533-position model. The record is from RNAcentral.
GAGUGAACGCUGGCGGUAGGCCUAACCCAUGCAAGUCGAACGGCAGCACAGUAAGAGCUUGCUCUUACGGGUGGCGAGUGGCGGACGGGUGAGGAAUACAUCGGAAUCUACUUUUUCGUGGGGGAUAACGUAGGGAAACUUACGCUAAUACCGCAUACGACCUACGGGUGAAAGCAGGGGAUCUUCGGACCUUGCGCGAUUGAAUGAGCCGAUGUCGGAUUAGCUAGUUGGCGGGGUAAAGGCCCGCCAAGGCGACGAUCCGUAGCUGGUCUGAGAGGAUGAUCAGCCACACUGGAACUGAGACACGGUCCAGACUCCUACGGGAGGCAGCAGUGGGGAAUAUUGGACAAUGGGCGCAAGCCUGAUCCAGCCAUACCGCGUGGGUGAAGAAGGCCUUCGGGUUGUAAAGCCCUUUUGUCGGGAAAGAAAAGCAGCAGGUUAAUACCCCGCUGUUCUGACGGUACCCAAAGAAUAAGCACCGGCUAACUUCGUG